RNAcentral lists this transfer RNA (82 nucleotides) under Danio rerio (zebrafish). RNAcentral's name for it is "tRNA-Ser (AGA) (tRNA-Ser-AGA-164-1)". It matches the Rfam family "tRNA". From Rfam's summary of the family: Transfer RNA (tRNA) molecules are approximately 80 nucleotides in length. Their secondary structure includes four short double-helical elements and three loops (D, anti-codon, and T loops). The record is from Rfam by way of RNAcentral. Lineage: Eukaryota; Metazoa; Chordata; Actinopteri; Cypriniformes; Danionidae.
GUAGUCGUGGCCGAGUAGUUAAGGUGAUAGACUAGAAAUCCAUUGGGGUCUCCCCGCGCAGGUUCGAAUACUGCCGACUAUG